AUUUCAAAAAGUAUAUAUAUAUUAUAUAUAUAGAGUCAGCUACUAUCCUAUAAUAGGAUUGGAGCCAUUGUCCUAUCAAGUCGUUUUGAUUGAUCGAACUUCAAUUGAUAAUGGCACCGUUAAAAUUGAUCUACACAAUUAGAAAUGUUUAGAAACAAAUUUUGUAAUAUUUAAAAAUCAUUAUCAAGUUCAUCUUAAGAGUUAAAAAAUGAACGGUCAUAAAUGAAUAACUUCUUAAAAUAGAGGUUAGACUUUCUCAUUCAUAAUCAGAGUUAUCAAACAUUAUCUAAGUAGUAUAAAGAAUUUUCUAUCAAAAAUUUAAGCAAUUGAUGCUCUACAACCGUUAAACAAGCAACGCUCAUAUAAGCCGUCAAAAAUUUGUCAUUUACGACACUUGAUCACAUGUAAAUAAUUUUUAAAAUUUAUGAAAAUUUAAUUUCUAGAUAUUUCAAAUCUCUAGAUCAACUUCAAGCCCCUCGAUCAUCGAUUCGGGAAUCUCGAUCAUACAAAAACAAUUAAUAGACAAUGCUACUCAUUCUAUUAAUAGGAUAGUAGCUCUAGCCUAUAUAUAUAUACACAUAUAUAUAUAUAUAUAUAUAUAUAUGUUCAAAAAUCAACUUUUGAAAGGUAUAUAUGAAAACUCGGAUUUGCAGAGAUACAUAUGCAAAUAGAAAAUCUUGCAGGAACAAAUAUUCCCAUAAACAAACCAUAAUGCGUCAAAAGGAAAUGAUUAAUCUGUCAUAGAAAAAGCCUAUGAUAAUUUCUGACCUUCAGCAUUCACGAGACUGUCAGCUUUUUCUUCUCCUUGGCUAGAGAGAACACCCACUGCCGACCGGCGGUUAGGCUGGGGUUUAGGAUGAUCAUGUUUGCCUUUAUAGAUGAUUUCAGUGAUCUGCCCAUCAUGGGAUCGUUCCAACUGCUUUCUUACAUUGCAAUUAGGAUGUGUGCAUUUGUAAUAACUCCUAGGGUUUUCACUUCCUUUAACAUGUUUCUGCCCGUAUUUGCGCCAGUUAUAGCCAUCCUCUGCAGACUUUUCAAGUACAGGCAAUGGAGCAGAUCCGCUCAGAUUGGACUGUAGUUCCUGCAUGGUCUUAUCUGAACUGUCUAUUUGCUGUAGCUCAUCACAAGCUAUUUCGGAGUGCACCCCAGCCUUUAAAGUGAUAUUUUCAAUAGGUUGGGUUAAUGCAGUUUGAGGAAUUACUGGGGCAGAUUUAUGAUUCUGAACUUGACUUUGAAUCUGUACAGAAGCCUCGCACUCUUCUAACUUACCAUCAGCAGAAUCCUGCAAUGAAGGAACAAAAACAUAAGACAAAGACACCAUUAAUGCCGUACUCAACUACUCAUGGUAGUUUCGGCAAAAAGAACCAAUCUGUUUCACAUCAGUUCUUGUACCGACUAGAACGCAGAUCCACAACAAACUUGCCAACCAGUUUUGGUUAGUUUAGAAGAAAGAUAAUAGAUUUUGUCUAGUUUCUUUUGGCAAAAACUAUUCUUUUUCUUUAUAAUUGGCUGUCUACUGUGCACACACAUGGAAAUUAAUGAGGUGUCUUCUUUGACAACUCUUUCCUAUUAUGGAAAAAAGGGGAUAAGUAGGCUGUUUAAAUUAUUUUGAAGGCACAGAACCAUAUAGGAGAAUUCUUCAUGUCAUAGUAAAUCCCACUGCAAAAUCUAGAUCAAAUCCAGAAUAUAGCUUCAAAUUUGAAUAUAUUUAUUCGUCGAUAUCAACUUUUUGUUAUUGACAAAGAUUUUCACACCCAAAUUUCAAAUCCCAAAGGUAAAUGUCCAUGCAACCUUAUUCAUGAACUUGUCUGUAUCUAACCAUGCAAAGGAAGCAAAGAUUUACUACACCUAAUAAUUACUUGACAUAAUUUUUUUCCAUCAAAAUCUGCUUAUUUUAAAUUUGUCUUCAAUGAUACUAGUUCAAUUAUAUUUUAAACAAGCAUAGACUAAUCUAAAUUCUACAUGUAAGACAAUAUAUCAUUGGAUAGCUACGUUACUCUCGUAAUAUUUUGUUAACUUGUCAAUGCAUUAAUUUCCAUUGUAGUAUAAAUUUUAUGAUUAAUUUAUCAAAUUUCCUUCCUUAUAUUUUAGGGGGAGGGGGAAUGAAAUACUAGUAACUAGCAUCUUUCAUUCAAUAACAACAUAUUCUCAACUAAUUCCAAAAUAUAAUUUGAUUUCCUAUUUUCUCGAAUUCUUGAUUUUGGGAAGAUCACCAAUCAGAAACAGCCAAGUUUAGGUCAGAGAUCCCAACAGUGUCAAAAUGUUUCUGUUAGUUAAGUUGCAAAAUUCAAGAACAGUUAUGGAAAGGAAGCAAGAAAGGAAUGAGAGAAGGCAGAUGAUAGAUCCGUCUUACUCUAAAAGAAGCCCUUGGAGUGUAAAGGAUGAAAGAAAAACAUGAAAAUUAAAAAACAACUGUUUCUUUUGAAGAUUAAUAAGAUGGAAAAUGUUACUCACAAUAAAGUAAUCAAACUACUUAUUCCUUCCUUUACAAACAGGACAUAGAAUUAGAAGUCCAUUUAUGAAAGAGGUCCAUUUAUAGAAGAGUAAUAGAUAGUAUAGAUAGUUCAACUCCUCAAUUGUAGCUGUGCAUACAGAAAAGCUAGGUCCAUGAAACAGAAAUACGCAUCGUGAAUAAACCGCCAAGAAGGCAAAGCAAACCAAAUAGAUGCCAAAUGUGAUACCAUAGCAGAUUAUCCAAACAUUGCAGAAAUGUAUCCAAGCACACCAACAGCUUGGCGGAGUCCUAUAAAGUACCUAUAUUGUGGCAUGGCAAUGGCAGCUGUGGAGGUAACAAUUGAGAGGUAUGUGGUGCAAAUGACAAAAAUAGGUAUUUUAGAGUACGUAGCAGAAACAAUAGUCAAAAGAGAAGAAAGAAUAGCUUUUGUAGAAAAUGUAGUGUCAACAAUAGUCAAAAAGAGAAGAAAGAACUACAGUUGACAAAGGCUGAAAGGUUAAGUUUCUUGAAUAAAUCCCAUUAAAAGCGGAGUAUGAUUUUAAAACUAUAAAAGAUGUUGGUCACGGGUUACAAAUUACACGCAAGACAAUGAGACAUACCUACUUGUUGUUACCACUGCAAGUAAGCAAGUUUUACCCUUCAGAUAAUCUGGUGCCUUAGGUUAUACUCAGACUAAAGCAGUGAGCAGCAACGCGUUUUGCAGGCAAAGAUUUCUUCUAGCUAAGAUAUGCUAACACAGACACUGACUUCGUACUAGUGGGCUAGAUAAACGUACUCCAGCUAUUCAAGGUUAAGAAACAGGGCAAACACAAAUUAUUGAAUGGAUUCUGAGAAUACAUGCUUAGUCCAGUAACCGCUAUUUGCUUUAGCCUAAAUAAUAAUAUCCAUAGAUUCCAAAUGGACAACUACAUAAUGACAUCAAAGAAGUUCUAACUAGAAAAUUUACCAAAAUAUAUCAACAACUUUAGAAACUAUAGAAGAAAGAAAGUUACUUGAGGUAGCAAUGAAGGCACUGCUGAGUGCAAAGAGGAUCCGGCAUGAAGCUUAAAUUCAAAAUCUCCUGAACUCUUAUCACUGUAUACACUAUUAGAAGUCUCCCUUGGAGAAGAUAGUUUGCUCGAAUGAACAGAUCUAUUCAUCAUAUAAGAUAUGUUCAAGGUUCCAGUAGUUGGGGAGGGCUCAGCCUGUCAAAAAAACACAACAAGCAGGUAAAUUGCAAGAUCUGUAAUGUACUCCUCAAGAAAAGUAAGAAAAAUUUUGGAACCUUCUAUGACCCAUGCCUGCUGCCUUUACCAUAUAUCUAAAUGAUUGAAGUACGAUAAUAUAUCGCAUGUGAGCAAAACCUUAGAUGGGACUGGCUUGGCACAAAGCAAAAAUACCACACAACUGUAUUAUAGAUUGCUUUUUUGCUAACCGAAGCAAGAAAAGUUAUUCUUUUCAGGCCCUUGACAACAUACUGAAAUUCAUUAAACAGGAGAUCAAUUAACAAAAUAGCCAUUAGGGUAAUGUAGCAGAAGCAACAAAAAUCAUUCUCUUUAGAGGCCUUCGAAACCAUACUGACACUUAGAAAAUUGGUAAAUCGAUCAGUAAAAUAACACUUAGAGUAAUGCCCCUAAAUCAAAUUCCUUGAUAAUAUUACCAAGUCUCUCCUCUUAAGCACCAUUUUCCUCUUCGCCGUCUUCCUUUUUCAUAUACCAAACUUCCUCAUAAACUGCCCCACCAAAGCUACAUGUCUUAUUCAAUAUACAAUCUCAAAAACACAAAUAAUAGAGAAUAAGUAUAUAACUUGGUGAGUCUACAAUCAUAAUCAAAACAGAUUCCCAAGCAAAAUGAGAUCAAACAUAUAAAAUAAGCAGAUCACUAACAAAAAGGUGGGCUAUGGAGGGACAUCUCUAUCAUAAGAGGGGGGACAAAAAAGGCGGUGUGUGUCUAGGAGAAAGAUUCCCAACCCAAGCCAAUAAACAAAGAACAUGUUUUGUUUAGAAUUUCGCAUGACAUACACCCGCAUAAAGGUAGGAACAGAAGAGAAUAAAGCGAGCAUCAGAGUUCAAGCCACAUCUUAAUGCACUUCCACCAACUUUUUUGUCUUUUAUUGCUCUCCUCCACUUCGUCCCCUCACAGGAAAUUUUGAGAACAGCUCAACAAUCUUACAUAAUUUUACACGGACAAAACAAAUUCACAUAUUACAACAGGAAUUAUUAGGCAACGUAAAGUUAAUGAAACAUCUCACUAAUUUAAUUAUGGCAUCGCGAAGUUGUACACUUGAAGUGUCAUUUUAGGGGACGCAGAUCCUCAGUAUGAUUAUACUGAUAAAAAUAGCCCUAAAAUAGCAUGAUUUAAGACAAACCAUACUGUAACUUGAUCGGAAAAAAAGAGAAGUGAUGAAACAGAUCAAAUUUAGCAUCAAAAUUAAGGGGUAAAAAAGGGCGAAAGAGAGAUCGAGAACGAGAGAACGGGGUCAGAUCUCGUGCCUUGAUGUUGGUUAGGAGGACGGGGGAUUCGAGGAGGGCGGAGGGGCUGAACCCUUGGGGGAUGGUGAGGCACGGCGCCCGCGUGGCGAUGGGGAGGCGGCCCGGGGACAUCGCCUUGUACCUCGCCGCGCUCGCCGCCGCAAGCGAUGAAACCCUAGGAUGCACCGCCGCCCCCUCCCCCACCGAUCCGCUGCCGCCGCCUCCAGCGGCGAGACCCUCCGAUCCGAGCUCCGGCGCCGGCGUAGCUCCCUCCCGCCCCCCGCAGGCGAGAUCGCCGGCGUUCGCCGGAGAUUCCUCCAUUACUGGAUCUCGAGAUCGAGAUCGAGAGAGAGAGAGAGAUAGAGUGUGUGGAGAGUGGAGCAGAGGCGGCGAAGAGAGAUGUUAUAGGAGGAAGAAGAAGAAGAGGGGAGCAGGUGGGUUUCGGUUUUGGGAGAUCGUAAGAUGGGGGUACUUUGGGAAUUUCACUAUUUAGGUAGUGUGUUUUGGUUCCUUUGGUCAGUAACCACAUCUCGAAAUUUAACGAUGAACCGAGUUCACCACGUCAUCUGUAGACCGUUCCAGUUCCCAACCAUAUCGUCCUUAGGGGAGGACGAACUUUAAAUACUGGUUCACAAAUGACCUGGUGAACCAUGUUCCCCCAAUAUUCCUGAUAAAAUCUGGCCGUUCAAAAUUCUUUAGUGCAACCUUUUAAUUCUUUAUUAACAAAUGUACGGAGAUCCCUUUUCAUAAAAAUGUACGGAGACCUUCUAACUACAGCUGUCUUUGAAAUCGACCCUCAACUUUUUUUUUUUGGCAACUUAUAAUUUUAUUUAUUUAAAAAUAAUAAAACUUUAUUGAAUUUAAUAAAAUUAUUAAUUAAUAUUUUUUUUAAAAAAAAGUUUAAUAUUGUUGUCUAAAAUCACUUAAUUACGGGAAUUUUAGAAGCUGAAAGAAUCUUAUACAAAAAUCGUUGAGGGGUCUCCUUGCAUUUUAUUACCUUAUUUUCCUCCUUUGUUCUAUGACAUGUGGGACCCACAAUGACACGUCACACUGCGUUGUCGCCGUUACACCGAAAUCGAUCUCCGUGGCUCCGUGACACAGUUGACUCGGGAGUCGGGAGCGCUCUGUAAUGGUGGCGGUUGUUAAAUGACGAUAAUACCCCUCCAAGUCGAAGCGAGCACGAAACCGGUGGGAUUUGUGAAAUGACGAUAAUGCCCCUACUUGUCCCGUUCCGAUAGGGCUGUAGCCAAUGGGCGCACGCGGUUCAUGGACUGGAGGAGUAGAGAACUAAAGCCACACGCAAAUGGAUUUGGAUCGGUAGAGUUUUCGCUUUGAUCCGUUUUAAAUUAUCAAUUAAAUAAAAAUAAAAAAUAAAAAAAAAUAUUUUAAAUUCGUCCUGAUUUAUUAAUGGAGUAUUCGAUUUGCCCAAAAAAUUUGAAAAAAUAUUUUAGAAAAAAUUCCUUUUUCAGUAUUUCGGCUAAUUUUUUUAUAUUAAUAAAAAUUAAUAUUUUUAUUUUUAAAUUUUUUUAGAAAAAUAAAAAUACUAGUUUUUCAUCAAAUUUAGAAAUAAGUUUUUUAUUAAAUUAAAGACAGAAAAUUGAAAAAACAAAUAUUGCCUGGAAAAAUUUUUCUCGAAAAAAAAUUUUUUUUUUUGAGAAAUCAAACGGCUCGUAAGAAAAUAAAGUAAAAGAUGAAAAAUUACUUUUUUUUUUUUCUUUGAAUAUGUCAAAAGUUUAAUUCUGUCCCAACUCGCCGUCAACUAAGCAGUAAGCAGAGAUAAUGUAUAAAUAAAAGAUUAAACUAUUUGGCAAAAUUAUCCUGUUUGCCUUCCUAUUAAAGAAUUGCUUUUUCAUAUUAACGUGUUGUUUAAUUUGUAGAAUUACAACGCAAAAGAAAUUAAAGUGCUUAUAUACAAAAUUAUAAAAUAUAUUAUUGGGUAUUAAGUAAUUCGAUAUUGCUCCUAGGAAAAAAUGAUUGUACGAUUCAUAAAAACAGUAUCUAAAAUUUAAUAAUUUUGUAACUAAAUUUUUUAGAAUAUCAUAAAAUUAUAUUCGAUGAAAUUGACGUUUAAUUUCAGGAAUCGAACGUAAGAUUUUGGAGUGCAAUAUACGAAAUGUAUUUAUACGAUUCUUCGUUACAAGACGGAGCGGAUUAUGAGAUGUAUUUUUUAAUCCGUCACAGAUUCGAGGUGGAAGGUGGGGCGGGAUUUUACUAGUCGGGACGGGAGGCUGGCCCCCAGAUCCACCCCGACUAGCAAAUCAUGUAAUGAGCAAUUUACUCAUUAGAUGUUAUCCUUGUAUAUAAAAUUUCUGCAUAUAAAAUUUACUUAUGUCUUCGGGGCAGAUCUGGGGAUGGGAACCCCGCCCCGCCUCCCGCNNNNNNNNNNNNNNNNNNCCCCGCCAACUAAUAUUUUUUAUAAAAUUAUAAUAUUAUUAAUAUUUUAUAAAAUAUAAAAUAAUAAUUUUUAAUAAUAUUAUAUAUAUAAUUUAACAAUAUCAAUUAUAAAAAUCAAAAAUAUCAAUCACAAUUCAAAAAAAAAUUCAAAAGUUUCAAAUAUAUUAGAAAAAAGAGUACUAACUUGUAUUUUAAACGUUUUUAUAAAUACAUUAUUUUUUAGAAAUAUUUUUUAAAAAUAUAAAUAAUUUUCGAGGCGGAUUCGGGGCGGAUCAUGGCAGGGCGAAUUCGGGGCGGAUUCGGAGUGGGUCAAAAUUUUCCCCGUUUCCUGCUCCGAAUUCGUCUCGGAUCGUAAAAUUUACCCUGUUUCCCACCCCGAAUCCGUUUCGAAUUGUAAAAUUUACCUCGUUCCCCGUCCUGAAUCUGUUUAUUUUCUCCUAUUUACUGCCCCCGUUGGAACAGAUCGGGACGGGAGCUCUACCAAUCCGGAUCCGUUUGCAUCCUAGAUGUUGCAAGGGCAGAGAGAUGAGAGCCCUUUGAGCCCUCAUCUGUGGGUAUGUAAGGCCUCGUCGAAGCCUAAGUCCACUAGUUCUUACCAAAUAUAUUAAAUUAAUAUUUUAUUUUAAAUUUAACUAAAUUGAAUACAUUUUAAUUCAAAAUUCAUACAAAUGUCAUCUAAUUAGUAAAUUUUUUAUUUAUUAUUAACUUUUUAAGUAUAAUACAUCAAAUUACUAAAAAUGCAUAACAAGCAGAUAUUAUUUACCUAAUAUACAAUAUAAAAAAUACAUAUUUUAAAAACAUUUGAUCAAAUUAAAAAUAUAUCAAAGACAUCAAAAUUUGCAUUAUAUAUAUAUAUAUAUAUAUAUAUAUAUAUAUAUAUAUAUAUAUAUAUAUAAUAUUAUAUGUUAUAUAUUUGACAGAAGGAAUUUUUCCUCUGUUUUCUUAAGAGCAAAACGCUCGUCAUUACCACCCUAUUCGGGGCUAGGGCCUAGGGAUGUCAAUAUGUUGGAUUCAGGGUGGAUUUUCAAAAACCUCAAUAUGAAUCUGACUCCAAACACGAAAUUGGAAUCUGAAUCCGAACUGACAGAUUUUAAAAAUUCACAUACAAAUCGAAAUCCGACCAAAAAUUCAAACUCAAAACAAUUAUUUUUUUUUCAAUAUUUCAAAAUAUAUUACAUUAAUUUUUUUUUAAGAGAUAGAUAGCAUGCUACCCACUUCGUUUAUUUCAUUUAGAAAUAAACUUAGCUGGAAAUGUGAAUCAACAAAUAUUCAAACUUGGGACCUCAAGUAUCAACCACCAAGUCCUUUGCCACUUGCGCUAAGGACGGUCGGUUUAAAUUUAAAAUUUUAAAAUACAAAUUCACAUAUAACAUCAAAUUUUUAUAUACAUAUUAUAUAUAAUGUAAAAUAAAUUCGGGUAUGAGUCAGAUUCGGGUCAAGUUCGGAUUCGGGUCGAAUACAGUCAAAAUCCAUAUCCGAAUUCAUAUCCGUUGAGUUUUUAUUUUUGAUAUUCAGAUUCAAAACCAUAUUUGUUUAGUAUCGAUAUAUCCGCUAUGUUCAGGUUCGGAUUCAAAUAAAAUUUUCGGUAUCUGUACCCAUUGACAUCCCUAUUCGGGGUGGAUUCUAGUAGAGGCAGGGGUGGAAACGAGCCGGGCUCGAGCGAGCUUUCCUUAGCUCAAAUUUGGCUUGAAAUUAAUUUCGAGCCUAAAUUUAAGCUCAAGCUUGGAUUGAAAUUAAUUCGAGCAGAGCUCGAGCGAGCCUAAUUUCGAGUCGAGCGAGCUCGAGCCCUAAACGAGCCGCUUGAAAUUCUCAACAUCAUAUGAUCAAUAGUUUAAUUUGUAUAGAACAUUAUCUAUAAUUUGAUACAAAAAAUUUGUCUAAUAGUUCAAAGUAUAAAAUAAUUAUAUAAAAUAUAGUAUUAUAAUAUGAAAAAAAAAUUAUGAGUUGAAUAUCUAAACUUUUCAGCCUCACAUAUCUUUUCUUCCACCUUCAAUCUCUAUAUUAUUUAUUUUUAUUUAUGCAGUCAAAAAUAAAUAAAUUAUAUAGAUAAAUAUUGGAUUAAACUAUCCAAUCAUAUAUAACUAAAAUUAAAAUUUCUGUACAUUUCGCAGCAUAUAAUUUAGCUACGCUAGCGGCACGACGAUAGUUGUGAUAUCUUGGUGGCUUGGAGGGCUUCAUUGGCCACAUAGGUGUGAGAGACGAAAAGAGAAGAGAGAAACAUAUUGAAUUAGAGCUAUGCUGAAGAAAAGAAAGAAAAUGUUAAUUUAGUAAAAUUUUGCCUUUUAUUUGUCUUAUUGGGUUUGUUUUUAUGGGAGCAACAUAUUGAGCCCAUUUUAAUAAAUCAGAUAUUCAGUCUCAGCUAUAUAAAUUAAAAUAUAUGUAUAUUUAUAUAUUUUUUGAUAUAUAUAUAUAUAUAUAUCUAUAUAGUAUUAAUAUAUAUAGCUGAGGACACUAUACUUUUGGUAUAGACCCGCCUUAUUACUAUAUGUAUUGAUGGGAUUGUGUGGUUAGGAUGAUGGCGGGGCGCUACUUAAAAUGAAAGUGAGUGCAUCUUAGGGUUAAUUGGGUGUUGGUUAAUAGUCUGAUUCUAACGGGAUGAAAUGGAUUAAUGGAAUUAAAUCUAAGGGUCGAAAUUAUGAGUAUAAUGAGCAUAUCUAAAAUUAUAGUAGCCGAUUAUUAUAUUAUAAUAUAUAUAUAUUAUAUAUAUAUAGACAGGCUGUGUUGUGCUCAGGAUGACGGAGGCUCGUGCUCCUGAGCACUGUUUUCGAUGGAUGAGCUUCGAAUCGCCGAUCGGCAUCGUUAACUUUGAUCUAGCGUAUAUUUAAAGUUUUCUAGAAAUAAUUUUUGCGAUUUCAGAUAUCAUUUUACCUGCAAUCGAAAGGAUUCAAAAUCAAUAAUUUAACGCGCUGAAAUAAAAAAUCCUAUAAAAGUGCGUGAUAUGCACUAAAUUUUCGUACGAAUAUAUGAUUUGUUGUAGUGAGUAUAAAAAUUUUCUAUCAAAUUUAUCUUGAUUUUAAUACUUCUACACUUUUAACUUGAAAAACUGCAGUAUAACAUUAAAUUAUUAGAUUUUGGAAUCUUGUCGUACUAGGUAAAUGAUAUCAGAAAGAUCGCAAAAUGUUUCUAGAAACUUCAAAUAGCAAUAGAUCAAGUCUAACGGAGCCGGAUGUCAAUUCAAAUUCCAAUUCAUCGAAGCGGAGUAGGAGCACGGAGGCUCUUCCGUGUCUGGGAGCAGUCAGCUGAUUAUUAUACUAUAUCUAUAUAUAUAUAUAUAUAUAUAGUGGUAGAACUACUAUGCUAUGGAAAAUAUAGAGGAUUUGAUAUUUUUGAAUUUUUGACUCUUUGAUUAAGAAUUGUAUGGUUGGGAUGAUUGCGGUCUCCCAUAGGAUUAAAUAAUAUCCCUAAGAUUGAGUGGUCCCUAUAAGAUAAUAAUAGUAUUAAUUCAAAGAAAUGAUUAGUUGAUCUAAAAAUCAAAAAAUCGAAAGCACCAGAUCCUCUAUACUUUCGAUAACAGUGUAUAUAUAUUCGAGCUUUUCGAGCCUAAUUCGAACGAGCCAAGUAAUACUCAAGCUCGGCUUGAAAUGAAUUUCGAGCCUUAUUUUUUGUUCAAGCUCGGCUCAUUUAAUUUCGAGUCGAGCUCGAGCGAACCAAAUAUCGAGUCAAACGCGAAUCGAACACGAGUUGGCUCGCUCAUUUGCCAGCCCUAAGUAGAGCCCUAAAUUCGCUGAAAAAGUUAUUGUGAAAGAAACCACUAGUUUUCUGUAAUAAAUAAACAAACUUGUGCAAAAUUGAAUUUGGAUAAAUCUAAUUUCAUGUCUAAUUAAUUUUGCCUGUAUACCCUAAUGCAUACAUAUUUCAGAAAAAGGUUGAUCAAUUAAUAGAUUCUCCAGUUAAAAAUUAGGUCAAUCAAAUAAAUAAUUGGACAUAACCUGGGUUCUUUUCAUCCCUAAGAACAAAAAAGAUCAUAGAGUUGCUCGGUCCCUACUCUUUAUCCGCUUUUUUUUUUUUUUUUUUUAUCUCACUUUUUAACUUCUAAUUUUCUUGCAAUUAAGUCUUUGUUUUCAUUAAUUUUCUAGCAUUAAUAGGUCAGUUGAAUUUAGUGAAAGUUACUACGUGACGAGAUCAAGCGCUAACAUGGUGAAAAUUGUUUAGGAUGUUUUUAUUAGAGUUAACAAAAUAUUCUAUAACGAAAACAUAGUGAAAAAAUUAAUAAUCAUUAGAAACAUAAACUAUAAGAUAAUUAAUUAGGUAAUCGAUUUUUUUGCGAGUUUGGUCGGCCGAGUAUUCGCUUCUCUUCAUCUCUAGUUAUGCAUUUAAUUUUUCCAACCGUAUUUCAAAUUUAGGUUAAAGAUCAAUACAGGUUCUUAUUUAUUUAUUUAUUUAUUUAUUUUUGAAAGAUAGGUAGCAUAUUAUCCGCUUCGUUUAUUUCAUUUAGAAAUAAAUUUAGCUGAAAAUGUGAAUCAACUAAGAUUCAAACUUAGGUCGGGUACCAACCACCAAGCCCUUUACUACUUACUCUAGAGACGGUCGAUAAUACAUGUGAGAAUGAUCGUGUCUUUUUUUAGGGUGUGCAUUCAUUAUGUUGUUAAUUAACAGCGGAAUCAACCCUAACUGUAGGGAUUUUUGAAAAUGCAUUUCCAGGUUUGGUAGGGGAGGGGUCCGUUUUACGAAUUGAAUUCACUUGUAACUUGUAAGUUGGAUAAAGCCAAAUCACUCAAUUAAGUUGAGGGGUAAUUAAAAACUUCAAUAGUUCAGGAGUAAUUUGAAAAUAUUCUAUAGUUCACUCAAUUAAGUUGAGGACUAGUUUCAAAAUAUUCUAUAGUUCAGGGGGCUCCAUACAUAUUUACCUAGCUAUGCUUCUGCUAACUUUCCAACUAUAAAUACCAUCCCUCUCAUUCGAUUUUUUUGCAAGCAAUCCAGUUUCUCCUCACUCCUCAAACUCUAGAGAGAGAGAGAGAGAGAGAGAGAGAGAGACCGUGAGAGGCCGAACCCCGGAGAAUCCCCAACCCUACUUCCCCAAAUCCCCCUCGAAAUCGCAUCUCCCCAACCAUUCCGAUCCCAGUCCCUGCCACACCCUCGUCGUCCUCCUCCGAUUCGGCGCCGAUUAGGGUUUCGAAAGCUGCAUAAUGGGUUUGCUCUUCGUGGAGUCGCUCCCCGACCAGGAACUGUUCAGGUGCGGAUUGUGCGAGGUCGUUAUCGCUUCCGCCGACGCGAUCAUGUCCACGAACUUCACCGGCCGCUUCGGCGCCGCUUGCCUCAUGGACAGAGUGUAUGUGCUCUCCCUCCUCUACCAGCUACAAUGGUGUUUGGGAUCGUGGUGGUAUAAUCUUCGGAAGCUCGCAUGUAAUGGAUGAUGUGAUAUUGUUGAAUCUUGAUUUGAUUUGGUAUGAUUUUCCUCAAAAUCUUGAGGAUUGUGAAUUUUACUGAAUUUUAAACGCCUUUGUGUGGUAUUUAUGUGUUCUUUAGAGUUAUCCAUACUACUGGUUGAUUGUUGUCGCAUUUGAGGUGAUGCUUGGGAUCAUGGUGAUCUAUUCUCUUGAUUUUCUUUCGAGUAAUGCUACCUCUUCCCUAGAAAUUCAAUCAAGUUCGGUUGAUGAGUCGGAUUUCCAAAAUGGAAUCUUAAGAGGGCAUUAUGUUUGAAAAGUUGAACCACUAGCUAACUGCAAUUUUGUAAACGUUGACUCAUCAACUGCAUUUGAAGAUACAUUGUAAGGUACCUAUAGCAUUGUUUAUUUCAUUAAUAGACAAAAUGGAGAAUUUGUUAGGUUCUUAAAUCUUGAUUGGAUAUGGUAUCUAUGAAAUAUGAAACAUUCACUAAUCUUGAAGUUAAUAGUUACAUACUGAACUCUGCAAUAUCUUUUGGGAUGCUUAUGUGAUUGUCUCUAUGUUAGGGCCCGUUUGGCCUAGAUUCAGAAAAAAACAAUUUCUACACAAUUGAUUUUAGUUUGGAGAAUUGAUUUUGGUUAAAAGCUGUAGAGUAUUUAGUUGAGUUUAGAUGAAAAGCGAUUUUGUAAAGUUAUUUAACAAAAAAAUUUGAUGUUUGGAAAAUAGUAAAUGGAAAAUAAUAAACUUUUUACUGAAUUUUAUUGUAAAAUAAUUGAAAUUUUCAAUUUAAAUUAAAAUUUGAAUUUGAUUUGAAUUUAAAUUUAAUUUUAAAUUUUAAAUUUGCACGAUAUUUUAAAAUUUGAUAUUUUAAUUUAAAAUAUAAAUUUGGAACUUAAAAAUUAAAAUUUAAAAUUUGAAUUUCUAAAUAUAAAAUUAAAAUUUCAAUUAGAAAUUUAAAAUCUAAAUUUGAUAUUUGAAAUAUAAAUUUAAAAUUUAAAAUUUUAAAUAUAAAUUUUAAAAUUUGAAAUUAAAAUUUCAAAAUUUAAAAUUUAAAAUUUGAAUUUUAAAAAUUUGAAAUUUAAAAUUUGAAAAUUGAAAUUUAAAAAUUAAUAUUUAUUAUUUUAGGUUUAAAAUUUAAAAUUUAAAUCUUAAAUUCUAAAAUUUUAAAAUCUAAAUUUUAUCUUAAAUCUUAAAUUUGAAAAUUGAAAAGUUGAAUUUUGAAAUUUAUAUUUGAAAUUUAAUAUCAAAUUUAAAAUGUUAAAAUUUGAAAUUUAAAAGUUAAAAUUUGAAAAUUAAAAAUUCAAAUAUAAGAUUUAAAACUAAAAAUUAAAAUUUGAAUUUAAAUUUAAAAUUUGAAUCUAAAAUAAGGAUAAAAAAUUAAAAUUUGAGUCCAAAAUCAGAGUUAGAUUUCAAGAAAAAUGAUCCUAAAAAUUAGAAUUAGAUUUUGAAAACGAGAUUGCCAUACACUCUAUUGAGCCAAAAAUCAUUUUUAGGCCAAAAAUCACUUUUCAAAAGUUAUGCCAAACACCCACUUAAUGUUUUAUUUCAGAAUUCUUUGAUCUUUAGGUCUGAUUGUUACUAUUCAAUUAUGUGUAGUUUAGCGAAAAAUUUUUCACAGAUACAAUGAUGUAAAAUAUACUGUAGAAAAUGCUCUCCAUAAUGAUUUAAGUAUGGCAGUGUUGGAAUUAAGAGAGAGAGAGUGUCUACCUCUGAUCGACUAAGCCAUUUAUCAUUCUGAUUCACUCUGUUAUACAUAGAGAGCCAUAAUCCUAUAUUUAUUGAAGCCAUAGAAAUUAGAACAAAGAACUUUUUUGUGCAACAGACGGGUAACCUAUCAUUGCCUGUAUCAUUCUGAUUUGCUCUUUUAUACAUAGAGAGCCAUAAUCCUAUAUUUAUUGAAGCCAUAGAAAUUAGAACAAAGAACAUUUUAUGUACAACAUAUAGGUAACCUAUCAUUGCCUAGUGUAGACUAAGUAGCAGCAAUAUGGAAUUCUAAUGACGGAUAUUAUCCGUAAACUAUAUAUUUUCGCUGGGCUAUCACUUUAGUAUAGCUCAUGACUAAGGGGUGUAGGCCAUGGAGUCGCAAUGAUUCAUACCUCGAAAACAAUUAAUGAGGCGCUAUCUUCAUUGCUUAUUUAAUAUCCACAAAGGAAGUCCAAUUUUCACUUUGUUUGAUGGUUUGAGAUGUCUAUUUUUUAGUUCCUUUGGUGGUUUGAGAUGUUAAAUUUGCAGGUAUAGUAUAAUCUGUCGCUGUCGCUUACACAUAGUGAUGGAAGUCAUUAACCUCUUGACAAACAUUGGAGCGUCCAAUGAUCCCUCAAUCUAUGAACUACAAUCAAUUUAUUGAAUUCCAUUUUUCCCUUUCUUCAUAUUUUGUCUUUUGUUAUACCAAUAUAUAAAUUUUAUGCUAAGGAUUAUCUAUUAUUACUUCUCAUAUGUCAGUUAAAUUAUUUCCAUAAACGUAUAUUUCAACCAAGUGCAUAUAAGAAGCUCAUUUUAUUGAACCUCAAUUGCUAUAUAUUUUAACUUCAAAAUUUUCUCAAAAUGCCAAAAUUUGAAUUUAAAAUAUGACACUCAAACACAAAAAAGCCAAGUUGGAUUAUGAUGUGAGAUAAUCUUUCGUAGUGCAUAGUAGGAGCUUGAUCUUUCUUCAACAUCUUGAAUUUUGGCUUCCUUAUGUCUUUCUAUUCUCAGGAUUAAGGCUUCAUCAUUUUUCAGUCAGCAGCACAGCAAGAUGAUAAUGUUUGCUAUAGCCUGAAACAAGGAUAAAAAUUUAUUUGGAUGCCAUAUUUUACUUGGUUUACAUUUUGUUUUUAGUUGUUAAACUCUUUCAAUUUGUUCUAUCUUCUUGGGCAGUGUGAAGCUUUGAUGUACUUUUAUUAUUAUAUUGAAGUGUGAAAGAACAUUAUACUUUUGUUAAUCUUAUAAGUUUGCUGCAGCAUUAUGGCAUGCUUUUUUGAAAUCUUAUAUCACGAGGAACGAAAUCUCAUUUUCAAUUAAGGGAAUGGCUUAAUGAGUGUGUUGAUUUCUUAUGUCCAUCAUUAGGUCGUUAUACUGCUGAUGCACUUUAUGUAACAUAUCAUUAAUCAGAAGUUUGUUAGUUUUCUGUAGGUUUUCAGUUUGAGUAUUUGUGGUGUAAUUUCAGAGUGAAUACAACCUCGAGCCAAACUGAGACUAAGCAAAUGUUGACUGGCACUUAUGACGUGAGCGACAUCCAUUGCAGCUCUUGCCAACAAUUGCUUGGCUGGAGAUAUGUAAGUCAAGAGUCCGAUUACUCUUUUAUGAAUUUUUCGCAUAUAUACCCCCUCUAGAUAUGCAGAAUUUCCCUUGUUUGCAUGUGUCACCUGCUGGGCUUUAUGCAAAAUUUUUUUUUGCAUAUACCCUAACAGACGGAUGAAUGCAAAUAAAUACUCUUUAGGGGCAGCUGUACAAAUUUUAAACUUACGGGGUAUUUGUAUAGUUUUGUGUAUUUUACAAGGUAACAUGUUGGCAAUCCUUUAUUUCUUAUACGUACUCUUUUGAGAACCCAUUUUCAUGCUUUCGAUGCCUAAUUGAUGAAAUUGAUAUUAAGAUUUUGAUUAGGGUUAAUUUUCCCUAACCUCAAAGAGAUUUAUUUAUAUCAAGGAGUUUUUACAGUAAAGUCCCUAACAUAAUGUAAAAUUACAAAACUACAAAAGUAAUGCAAAAUUAUAAAAGAAUAGUCAACACUAAUCAUUGAUGAAAGACAUAGAAGCUCUCUCUAAUUGUGUCAAUAUUUAUUCUAUUGUACAAUGUCAAAAAAAGUUAGAGGUCAUUUAUGUGUUGAAGUUGGAAUUGAUAUAGGAUAAUAUUUCACCAUUGUUGCUUUGAAUUUGUUAGAAUCAAAGGUUGUGUUGCCCAGCCUAUUUGGCUGCAUUGUUGGCAUAUUGGUGUUGGCACAAUGUCAGGAUGGAUCCUUGUCAAUUUAGUUUGGUUUUGGAAGUCCUUUGACAAAAGAAAUCACUUGGACUCUCUUUCAAUUCUCUCUUCUCCUUCCUUAAUUCUCCUACUCUUAAAGCAAUUGAAAGGAAGGUCAGGCCUUCACCAAGAUAGAUCAUGGUAAACUUUGAAGAUUUGUAGAUAUUUCUUGUGGGUUGUUUAUUUCGCUAUAUAUGUGUAAGAAAGUAUGACCAUUUUCAUGCAUAGAAACCCUUUAUCUAGGGUUUGUUACGUUUGCUGAGUAGGUAGGAUCUGCCUCGUUAUUGGGAGGAAUUUUCAUUUGCUGCAUUUUCUUUUCUUUUUUUUUGGUUCCGAACAAAUUUGAAUAUUUAAGUUGGAAAAAAAAAAUUUGGUUUGGCAUUGGACGUUAGUAGAUCUUCUAGAGGAACUAAAACUUGUUGAGGCCCAGUCAUGAAUUUCAAUUAGCAGUACACCUUUUUUAAGCAAAAAAAUUGCUUUUGUAUCAUUUUAUGCAAUUUUUUCCAUCUUUUGGUCAAUUCUGGGAAAUAUAGUUAAAAAAUUGGUAAAAUUGGAGUAAAGCAUGUUGGCUUAUUAAAAGAGGCCUUGUAUGCUUUUCCCUUCAACUAUCAUGUAAUACUAUGAUUUUGCAAUGAAAAUUAAUUCUUAUAUUAUCUUUUUAAUUGCAGAAAUAUGUGAAAAGUUUGUUGAGUGAAAUUCAAAAAAAUUUGCGUAAAAUAAUGAUGUUGAGAAGAAAAAUUCAAAAAUAAUUGCCAUGUAAGUUUCAUUGAGUUAAGGCAUUCAUUCAUUGUAAAGAUCAAAUAUCUAGAUAUCAUAGUCUCUUUCAUCAUAUAGCAUUUUUUCACGAGUAAAUAUUAGGAAACAUGAUAAUACAUAAUUAGUUCUAUAUACAGCUAGAAAAGUAUAGCGCUUCAAUCAAAUUUGAGCUCCAGCUAAAUUUUUAUAGUAAUUAGAAGCCAUUAGGAACUUACAUCCAUCCAAAAGGGUAUCAAAACUCUUGUGCCAAAAGGGUUUCAACCCGUGUAGUGGGGGUAAUCUGCAUCCCAAAUGUUAGGGUAGCCUGUCUUGAAGAGUGUACUCGGACCACAAACGUGAGCCUUGGUUGGAAUUUUGUUGUUUCUUGUUAGGAAUGUAGUUAAUGUGCACGUUUGUGCAACCGGAUUUAGCAUCAUUGACAAUAUAGCAGAUAUCAUACUUCUAAACAGCCUUAGAAGUUUGUGAGAUGAUAUCAUUUCAAUUUUCUGUCUCUUUGCAUCUCUAUGCACCAUAGAGGCCAUACUUUUAUCUCUUUCCAGGUUUAACUGGUUAGUGUGAAUUUGUUCCUUAGCUUGAGCUGUUGAGACGUGCUCUUUUCAUGUGGAUGCCUUUCAAAUCUAUAUAUGAAAAAGCAUGCUUGUUAAGAAAACAUCCUUUUUAUUAGGUUCUUGUAACGGAAAAGUUUUUCAAUUUUGUCGAUGGUGUUCGCCUGGACACAUCUUGAAAGUGCAAAUCUGGAACAAUCAUGAAAGCUUAGAAGCCAAAGUUUUGAGCAUCGAAUGAAAGCAUCUAAAUACAAGCUUAGCCUAUUUUGUAAAUGCGAAACAGAAACCAUCUUGAGAGCAUGUACUCUUUUGUACAUCAUUUCAUUCUUAACUUGUUGGAGAUUCCUUUUUCUUUCAUGCGUAUAUUAUCUACCAUAUAGUUAGCUUUUUUCUUCUAUCUAUCUGACAUUUUUCUGUACUCUAAUCAUUUUUGGCACGUAUUUAGCCAUUUAUUGAGCCCCACGCUACUCUACAGGACCGUGCAUUCAGUGAAGACCAAAAAUUCAAGGAAGGGAAGUAUGUUUUGGAGUUGAGUAGAGUAGUAAAACAUGGCUGGUAAUGCAUAUAGGCGGUGCUAGAGAUGAAGCUCGAAGUCUAUGUGUCGGCGUUGUGGUAGAGAAUUGGCAAUUGCCGACAUGAACUUGUGAGCAAAUACGAUUUUUCAUAGUUUUUGUUGACUUGGACUAAGAUUUAGAGUUCAGAUUGUUGCUUGGCUAAAACGGGAGGAGAAACUGAACUGAAGGUUGUCUUGGCUUGAUGUGCUACUGCAUUUGGUAGCGAAUUAGUUAGUAUUGGAGCCAAACCCUGAUGCUUGAUAUGGACAUCUAAUUCAGUGUCCUAAAGAAGAAGUUCUCUUUGACUAGAACUGUUGCUCAAAACAAGCUCUAACAGCUUUUGUUGUCUAAAACCCUCAAAUAGCUAUUGGUUUUAGCUUAAGCAGAGGCUUAUAGCGACGGGCUAACUUUGUUUGCUUGCUCCAACCAGAAACUUUUUACUUUUUAUUUGUUGAGCAUCUGAUCUCUUUUCUUGGAGGAAGCUGUUCUAAAAGUUGGGGCCAAACAAGCAGAAAGAAUGUGACUUUGGGAUUGAAUCUUUUCAUGUGUAUGAGAUUUGGUCACCAUGUUUCGGAUGGAAAGGUCUGCGGAAAGUACUGUCAAAACAAGCUGCCUUAAGUGUAGAUUUUGCCAUUUGAGAAAGCUUUUAGAGUUAAGAAGGGCCUACAAAUCAUAACUAAUGAUUCAGUUUUCUAAAUUCACAAUUAAAAAAAAAGAUCAAAUAACUAUAAUUGCGGAUUAAAUUGCAAUUUUCUAGCUUCAUUUUAUUUUCACUUGUAGCUUUUCCUUCUGAAGCAGGUUGUAAAUUUUGAUUAAAUGUGCUUUCUUUUCUUUUACCUUUUUUUCGGGGAGUUUCAGUUAGUUCGGAUAUACUUUUCUUUCUAACUAUUAUUAGUUUUUUUGGGAUAUGUUAGCAUUAUGAUCGAGACAUUAUUCUACUUCUGUAUAUUUUGUUCCAGUUUUGUUUUGUUAUGUUUGAAAUUUGUAGUCUAAGCAUAAACUAUGUUUCGAUUAUGACUGUGCGAGGGGGUGUGUCAAUAUUUAAGCCAUUCCAAUGUAGAUGUAAUUUUAGAAAUGUGUAUGUAUUAUAAUGAGAGGAUCAUGAUAAAUUUUAUUAUGGAAUCAAAUAUGAUAACGUCAUAUCUAGUAAUUUGAGAUAAUAUUAGUCCCUUAACCAAACGCAGGAAUAAUAUAUUCCUAGAUAUCUGGAUGAAGUAAUCCAGAUUAUGGGAAUAUUAACAAAUCUGGGAAUAUUAACAAUUCUUAAUAGUCUGGCAUGAUGAGAACCUUAUAGUUAUCUACUUCUAUAUUAUUGCUUUCAAAGUCUCGAUUUUUGCAAACUUGCUAAUGAAUCUUCUUCCUUUUGCCCUGUUUUUUCCCAAAAUUUUGGAUUCUAUUUAGCUUUUUUUUUUUUUUUUGAAAUAGGUAGCACGCUACCCGCUUCAUUUAUUUCAUUUAGAAAUAAACUUAGUUGGAAAUAUGAAUCAACUAGGAUUCGAACUUGGGUCUCGGAUAUCAACCAUCAAGCUCUUUGCUACUUGCUCUAGGGACGAUUGGUCGGAUUCUACUUAGCUAUUGCUAUAGAGAAGGAUUUGUUAUACUGUUAAUUUUGUCUCUCGAUUUUUGUCUUUCAAGUGAACAUAGUUUAAUGGUAUGCGAUUUCUCCUUCAAGUUUCAGUUCAUGGGUUCCUAAUUGUGUGGAUUUUGGUGCUGUACAGAGAAAUGCAUCCAUUUUUAGAAUAACAAAUAAAUAAGAACUUUGUCUUGGUGCCAAAACAAGUUGCACGGGAAUAACAAGGGGUAGAAAUUGUUUAGGUGGUUGCCAAAGUCCACUUUGUCAUUUGCAGUUCAAGCCGACAUAGUCGCCAAUCAUUUUGCCAUUAUUAAUCCUAAUAAGAUAUAAAGAAAAGCGUGUAUUGAAACGUUCAUUAAAAUUCCGGCCUUCUGGGUUUGUCCUCGGAUGCCGACAGCGGUGGAUGUUUGAAAUUUCUAAACCAAAUAAUCGAUAAGACGUCAUUUUUUCUAAAAAUGUUAUUUUCGGUGUUUUAUUUUUGACUCACCAAAUAUGUUUUUGGUGGGAAUAGUUUGCCUAGGAUCUCAAAAGUGAUUUUAGGUUCAAAAAUAAUUUUCGGCUCAAUAGAGUAUUUGAUAAUAUUAUUUUUCUGAUUUUAAUUUUUAUAAUCAAUUUUUUGGUAUUCGAGGUCUAAAAUCGAAAGCAGACAAAAUCUGCUUCUUGAAAUAUGAUUCAAAUUUUGAACUCGAAUUUAAAAUUUUUAUUUUAAUUUUAGGUUAAAAUUUUAAAUUUAAAUUCAAAUUUAAAUUUAAAAUUUAAAAUUUAUAUUUGAAUUUUAGAAUUUUAAAUUUUAAUUUUUGAAUUUUAAAUUGCAGAAUUUUAAAUUUUAAAUUUAGAUAUUAGAUUUUAUAUCUCAAAUUUUAAAUUUUGAUUUUAAAAUUUAAGACAAAAUUUAAAAUUAUAAGUUUUGAUUUUUCAAAUUACAAAUUUUAAAUUUUAAAAAUUCAAAAUUUAAAUUUUAAUUAAAUUGUUAGUUUUAAAUUUUAAUAUUCAAAUUUUAAAUUUCAAAUUUUGAUUUUGUAUUUGAAAUUGAAAACAUAAAUUUAGAUUUAAAAUUUUAAAUUUCAAAUUUUCAAUUAUCAAAUUUAUAUUUUAAAUUAAAUAUCAAAAUUUAAAAUUUUGUGCAAAGUUAUAAUUUAAAAUUUAAAUUUAAAUUCAAAUUUUAAUUUUUAAAUAAAAUUUAGUAAAAAAAAAUUUAUUAUAUGCAAAUAUCAAAAAGAAUUUGCUAAAUGUUUUUAAAAAAUCACCUGAGAAAUAUCGCCUUCUAUAUAAACUCUGCCCCAAAUAUUCUACAGUUUUUAGCUAAAAUUAAUUCUUCAAAUUAAAAUCAAUGUAGAAAUUAUAUUUUUAGAAUUUAAGUCUAGCGGGCCUCUUGCUGUGUCAAUUUCGUUAUUUUCUUUGUCGCUCAGUUUCUGCUGGCACAGUUGCCUCGUGCCCUCGUCCGUUUUGCAACUAUUCAGCUAAUGGAGACGAAGAAAAGGGUCCAUUUGGAACACUUUUAUCAGAGUAGUGGCCUUUCGGGCAUGAGCAUUUAAAAUGCAUGAAAAAUUAGAAAUUGAAAUUCGUGUUUUUUAAUAUCAUUCACAUGGUGAUAUCAAAUUUAAUAACUCUUUAAGAUAUCAUUUGGUUCGGGGAUAAGCAAAAAGUGGCUAUUUCAGGAACAGAUAUAAAUUGAGCUAUAAACGGGGAUUAGAUCAAUUUUGCGUUCUGAUGAAAAUUGAGUUAUUUCUGAGAAUAAAAAAAAUAGCGUUUGGUUAGAUAAGAUGGAAUAAUUAAGAAGGAUAGUGGGUUUUAUAAAUAAAAAGUAAUGAUAUUAUUCUCUUAUUAUAUUUGAAUUUGAAUUUUUAAAAUUUUAUAUUUAUAUUUUUAAAUUUAAAAUUUUAACUUGAAAUUUUAAAAUUUGAAAUUUAAAAUCUCAAAUUUUAAAUUCAAAAUUUUAAAUUUUAAAAUUCAAACUUUAAAUUUAAGAUCAAAUUUAAAUUUGAAAAAUAUAAAAUAUAAAAUUUUAAAUUUCAAAAAUUNUUUAAAUAUAAAUAAUAUGUAUUAAUAUAGUACAAUUAAUAAUUUUAUAAUAAAAAUAAUGUAUUAUAAUAUAUAACAUAUUAUAUUUAUUUAAUUUAGUUUUAAUUCAAUUUAUAAUUUUAAUUAAGAUUGAAAUUAAGUAUUGGAAUAGUACUAUUCCACCAAAAUGAUGGAAUAGCAAAUUUCUUGCUAUUCCGGGAUAAUCGGGAAUAGCAAGAUUUGACCGGGAUAAAAUAUCCCGAUCAAAUUUCACCCCGUUUGGCCGAAUAGCGGGGAUAACGAAAGUUAUCUCUGCUUAUCCCUCGAACCAAACGGCCAGUGUCAAACAAUCCCGAUUAAUUAAAUUUUCAAUAAAAAAAGGUUUUUUUUUAAAAAAAAUAAAUCUAGAUUAUGUUUGGCACCCCUAAACUCAAAAUUGAGAAUUUCCAACCUCUACUUUUGGGACCUAUUUAAAUUGAGAAUCAUCAAAAAAAAAAAAAAGCUAUUACGUAAAAUAGAAUUCGGGCGGAACAUAUUUCAUAUAUUUCUGAUUCUUUGUUUUUCGCUAUAAGUACACCAAAAAAUAUCAUACAUGUAAUUUUCUCGCAAUUCCAAAUGCAACUUUAUAAGGUACUUGGAUUCAAUUCAAAAAAAUGUGAUAUAUGUAAUGAAAUCUAUUCAAUCUAAAAACUUAAAAAUAGUCGGUCUGGAUCUACUAGCAUAUAUCAAUUCUUUGCUUUUUUAUUAAUCCUCAUCCUAUGUGGGACUAUUUAUAUGUGAGCUCUAGCGUGCAUAGAUUAAAAUAAUAAAAAAGUAUUAACACUCUAAAAACAAAUAAGAUUGGUCAAAACUGUAAAACUAUUAAACAAAAAAUAGAUCCAAACCUUUUGCUUUCUUCACAUACAAAUGUGGCCCCAACAAUCCCGCAUCCAACGGCUAGCAACAGAGGCUCUGUCAAACUAUUUAUUUUUUGGAUUGAGACUCAAUCAACUUCUCAUUGUUAGAAUAAAUAUUCUAGUUAAACAAAUUUAGAAGUUUAUCAAAUUCAUUGAUAAUUUUACUUAAAUUUAAUAAUCUAAUCACUUUUUAAUAAAAUAAAAUUGUGUGAAUAGUCAAAAACUAUUAGAGUUAUUAAAUUUGGUAAAUUUUUAACUUAACUUAAUUAUAAAAACUCAAAUAGCAAAAAUUAGAAGUUGAGAGAGUUUCCAUAAAAAAAAAUAAAAUAAAAGUGGAGGGGUGUAUUUUAGGAUGACCUAUAGUUGAGGAGGUCUCCAUACACUUUUGCCAAAAAAAAUUUUGGCCUGUUCCUCAAAUAAGAAAUACUAAAGUUUACAACCCAAAAGAGCUGUAAUUACAAUCCCCUGUGGGCCCGGUUUGGUUCGGCGGAUAAGCGAGGAUAACGAAAGUUAUUCCCGCUAUUCCGCCAAACGGAAUCAUUUUUUACCGAAAUAUUUUAUUCCGGUCAAAGCUUGCUAUUCCCGGUUAUUCUGGAAUAGCAAGCUUUUUACUAUUCCACCAUUUUGGUGGAAUAGUGCUAUUAAAAAAAAAAAAAAGGAAAAAAGUUGGAUUAGAAAGGUAGGAUUACAACCCAAAUGGGUUGUAGUCCAAACACUCCUGAUCCCAAAUGGGUUGUAUUCCAGGUGAAGUUUUUAAGUUAAUUUUUUUAUUUUUUGACAAGGCAACUUAAAAAAAAAAAAAAAAGGGAAAAAAGUUGGAUUAGAAAGGUAGGAUUACAACCCAAAUGGGUUGUAGUCCUAACACUCCUGAUCUCAAAUGAAUUAAAAUAUAUAUAUAUAUAUAUAUAUAUAUAUAUAUAUAUAUACACAGAGAGCCUUGAACUUUAUCUCAUUUGUAAAUAACCACAUGAACUUUUUAGUUCUAAACAUAAUAAAAUAGUUCAAUUGAUAUUUCUUUUGAAUUACAAUAACGGCAUGUUUGGUUCACCUAUUUUAAACUAUAGAAUUAAAAUAAAAUUUAUUGAUUCCGAUAGUUGUUGUUUGUUUUAUAAGAACCAAAUUUUGUUUCUCAUUCCACUCUAUAAUGAAAAUGACUCAAUUCAUUUAUGACUCAAUUCAGCAUUUCGCACUUUCUUACUUUAGUUUCCUGUGGUUUCGCACUUUCUCACUUUAGUACCAUGUGGUUUAAAAACCACAUGGUACUAAUUUGAUACGAAAAUAAAAUCACAGAGUACUAGCUUGAUACACUUUAAACCACAAGAUACUAAAGUGAGAAAGUGCGAAACCAUAGAAUACUAACUUGACACACUUUAAACCACAGGAUACUAAAAUGAAAAGUGCGAAACCGCAGGGGUUUUUUUGAAGUUUUCCCUUUCUUUUAUUACUCUCCCUUAUCUUAACCAAAACCCUCUCUCAAAAUUUUAUAUUCUCCUUCCAAUUUUCAUUCCAAAUAUUUUCGGAUGAUUCGUCAUUUCAUCUUCCAUUCCAAAACAAUCCAAUUUAUUUUUUAUUUCUAUUUCAAUCAUGAACCAAGUAUGCCGUAUGUCUUAUAUAUAUAAUCUUAUAAAAUUUCAAAAAUAUAAAAGAAAAAAAAUCCGAUUCUAAUAUAUUAAAAAUUAAUAAAAAUUAAAGUUCAGUUUAAUCUAUUCUUGAAUUCUCAUACUUAAUUAUCAAAAUUGGAAGAGAAACAUAAACAUUUUCAUAUAUGGAAGCCUUACACAAUUAUAUGCAAAGUUCAGAAGGUCAAACUAUCAACAUUAAAAAGUUUAGAAGGCAAUGUACAAAACCAGCCAAAGUUUAGGGGUCUUUUCACAUUUUUCCCUCCCAUAAAUAAUCCAAUUACUAAGUACACCAUUUAUUUCGAAAGAAAAAUUAGAAAAACUUCAAAUACCACCCUGUGGUUUCGCACUUUUUUAUUUAGUACCCUAUAGUUUAAAGUGUAUCAGUUUAGUGCUCUGUCCAUUCAUUUUUAUUUUUUUAUUAUUCCCUCCACUAAUUUUUUUUAUUAAAUCAGUGACAAAAUUAAAACUAAAAGAUAUUAAAGUGAAUAUUUGAUAAACCUAGGUAGGGUAUUUGAUGUUUUUUGUAUAUACUUUAACGAAAUGUUAAUGAAGGAGCUGACGAAAUGAGAAAAAUAAAACUACAGGAUACCAAAUUAGUAUACUUUAAAUUAUAAA
This 25122-nucleotide long non-coding RNA is filed under the name Ananas comosus (pineapple). RNAcentral's name for it is "long non-coding RNA (ACOM_LNC019370)". The record is from RNAcentral. Lineage: Eukaryota; Viridiplantae; Streptophyta; Magnoliopsida; Poales; Bromeliaceae.